UACAAAAUCCCAUCCUUAUUCAGGUAAAACACCAUGGCCAACCUCCGCAGAGUCUUUCGGUCCUUUUUCGAUGCUCCCUCAGGAUACUCUUGAGUCUCCAGAUAGCGCUUGAUAUCAUAAUACCACGGCUUCUCAUCAUCAAGCGCUGUAUCAACAGCAAACACAUAAGCCGGUCUAUCCAGACGGCCUACUUCCACACUGGGGAACU
RNAcentral lists this long non-coding RNA (208 nucleotides) under Lathyrus oleraceus (garden pea). Its description in RNAcentral is "Pisum sativum (pea) long non-coding RNA (PSAT_LNC009913)". Lineage: Eukaryota; Viridiplantae; Streptophyta; Magnoliopsida; Fabales; Fabaceae. The record is from RNAcentral.